RNAcentral lists this transfer RNA (510 nucleotides) under Stenomitos rutilans HA7619-LM2. Its description in RNAcentral is "16S-23S ribosomal RNA intergenic spacer". The stretch from base 201 to 273 matches the Rfam family "tRNA". The record is from RNAcentral. Lineage: Bacteria; Bacillati; Cyanobacteriota; Cyanophyceae; Leptolyngbyales; Leptolyngbyaceae.
UAGGGAGACCUACCCGCAUUGAUGCUUGAACACAUUUUGUCAUUAAAGCCAAUGUUGGUCAUCCCAAGGUCGUUCAAGGUUAAGUGUUGGCUUUCAAACUAGCUAGGUUUGGUAUAUGGGCUAUUAGCUCAGGUGGUUAGAGCGCACCCCUGAUAAGGGUGAGGUCCCUGGUUCGAGUCCAGGAUGGCCCACCUUAACGAGGGGGUUAAGCUCAGUUGGUAGAGCGCCUGCUUUGCAAGCAGGAUGUCAGCGGUUCGAGUCCGCUAACCUCCACUGGGAAGCAGUAUUGCGCAAAUGACCAUUGAUGUAAAGAUGUAAACGUCCAGCACCAUCUUUAGGCACGCCUAGAGAGACUGCUGGAGUUGUUUCCAGCCAGAACCUUGAAAACUGCAUAGUUACUUGUCAGGUAGAAAGAGCAAUUUGCUUAGUAUGCUCCAGCUUGGUCUCAACGGCUGAGUUUAAGCGCGCGAAAGCAAGUUGUGAAAUCAUAGACACCAAUGAAUUUGUAAG